RNAcentral lists this unclassified non-coding RNA (181 nucleotides) under uncultured fungus. RNAcentral's name for it is "sequence contains ITS1, 5.8S rRNA gene". Lineage: Eukaryota; Fungi. The record is from RNAcentral.
UUAAUUGAUUGAUUUCAAUACUCCGACGCAAAGACGCAGUGUUUGAUGGACCUCUGGGGGACUCCCGGCACGAGGUCCGGGUCGCCCCCCGAGGCAACAGAUAGUCAUCGACAAAGGGUUGGAGGUUGGGCACGGAGGCCCGCACUCGGUAAUGAUCCCUCCGCAGGUUCACCUACGGAGA